Non-coding RNA from Sus scrofa (pig), 567 nucleotides. The record is from RefSeq and is a predicted model, not a curated record. NCBI's taxonomy places the organism in Eukaryota, Metazoa, Chordata, Mammalia, Artiodactyla, Suidae.
UAAAAUGCUGCGAAUUAUGAGAUGGGAGCUGUAGUAGAUCAUUACUCAGUCUAUUAAAAGAAUGUGGUUGAUCUCUGUAUGUUGUGAGAUUCAUUUGUGCAUUUACUCAUUGAAACUUGCACAAAACAUCAUGUUGGCAGGGCUGGCUUCAGUGGAGUGUGACCGGUAUAGUUGUGUGAGGCUCCAAAGCUCAGAAGGACCUUGUUCUUAGUUUAAUGCUCUGCUGUCACCAUCUUGGAAUUUUACUUUUGAACUUGUGUUUUGUCCAUGAAGCCUGAAGGGACAAUGGAAUGAAUGUAUGUAUGAGCAGAGCAGAAGAAAUUCAUGCAAUAUUUGUGUCCACUGUUGCUCAUCACUAUGUUUGCACAUAGUUUGUGAUGUUCCAUGAGUACUGAGUUCUGAUGGACCCAGGAUGCAUCGAAGUUCAGUGAAACUCAGAGCGAGUACAAGGCAUUUCACUGGAUGCAUAAGGACCCAAAUGGAUAUUACCUACUUGGUAAACAUCUGAGGCACAUGAGAAAAACCAUCAUGCAGAUUUGUGAGGUUAGUAAUGAAUUUUGUGCAUCU